CCUCUACCUCCCAUCUCUAGAAGAGAACCCGUGCUUCGUAACUAAUUCAUCCCCAUUUCUUUAUAUAUAUGCAUAUGUCAUGUUCUUUUGAAUAAUUUACCUAGAGUCCCUCAUGAACAUGUUUCUUGUGUGCAGAUGCAAAGUAAUGCACCAUCAUAUGUCUGGGCAAAUAAUCCAAGUGUCCAAGAAGCUCUUAAUAUCAGAAAGGUACGUUGAAAAGAAUUAGGAAUAUUUGAAAUUGUUUGAGAAAAUAUAUGAGUAUCUUUUGUCAAUUUUAUGUGGAACGGUUAUUAUCAGAUUAUCCUGUCUCUGUCAUCAUCCUCAUCAACCAGGUCUCCCACAGCCUUUCAGCCCAGCCCUCGUCACUAUUGGAGGGAGGGAGGGCGGGUCAAGUGGGGCAAUUUCCCUCUCAAGAACUUGAGAUUGUUCUUCCAAAAAUCAUUGUUUAAAAUGGAACCCAUUUGUGUUAAUUCUUCAUGGGUUUUGACUUGCUUUAGAUGUUAAAAUUUAUGCCUUUUUUUUCAAAGAUUACAAUGGAAACUUAUGAUUUAAUAUGUUAGUUUUUAUAUGUGACUGUGUAAUUGGCACCAUAAAGAAUGUAGAUGCCUUUGAUUGGGGGCAGUGGUUCCGGGGCAGAGUUGGAAUUUCACAGAUAGUCCUUGUAGAGGUGGUAAUACAGUCAAACAUAUGUUAUUGCAAUUUAUUAAUUUUGCUANNNNN
This 720-nucleotide long non-coding RNA is filed under the name Olea europaea (common olive). RNAcentral's name for it is "long non-coding RNA (OEUR_LNC009538)". Lineage: Eukaryota; Viridiplantae; Streptophyta; Magnoliopsida; Lamiales; Oleaceae. The record is from RNAcentral.